UAGGCGGGACGGGGUGGAGUAAUGUCUGGGAAACGUCUCGAUGGAGGGGGAUAACUACUGGAAACGGUAGCUAAUACCGCAUAACGUCGCAAGACCAAAGAGGGGGACCUUCGGGCCUCUUGCCAUCGGAUGUGCCCAGAUGGGAUUAGCUAGUAGGUGGGGUAACGGCUCACCUAGGCGACGAUCCCUAGCUGGUCUGAGAGGAUGACCAGCCACACUGGAACUGAGACACGGUCCAG
Molecule: ribosomal RNA, 239 nt
Filed under: uncultured bacterium
Lineage: Bacteria
Description: partial 16S ribosomal RNA
Rfam family: Bacterial small subunit ribosomal RNA
Source: RNAcentral